Molecule: ribosomal RNA, 203 nt
Filed under: uncultured bacterium
Lineage: Bacteria
Description: partial 16S ribosomal RNA
Rfam family: Bacterial small subunit ribosomal RNA
Source: RNAcentral
UAGUUUGACUCCUGGCUCAGGACGAACGCUGGCGGCGUGCUUAACACAUGCAAGUCGAACGGAGAAUCUGCGGAACGAGGAUUCGUCCAAGUGAAGCAGAGGCAGUGGGCGGACGGGUGAGUAACGCGUGAGGUACCCUGGCCUUUCGAGAGGGGACAACAGUUGGAACACUGCUAUACCGCAUGACACAUAGGAUGGUACGC